GGGCCUACUGUACCUCUGUCACUAUGGAAACUAGUUCCCUGGUAGCAAUUAGGCUUAGCAACAUCCACAAUGGUGCAAUGCACAUGGAUUCUGGCUCUGGUAAUGGACAGGGAGCAGUCCCUGGAGACAGGGCCACACUUACCCUAAUGACAGUCUCCGGGGUCUUCAUCCAGCCUGAGCACCCUGCAUGGAGCCCGGCCUGAAGUGCUCCAGCUCAGAGGAGGAGGAGGGAGAGGGAUGGCUCAGGGGACUGAGCUGGAAAAAAAAAGGCCUCAGAAGGGAAAUGGAGGCCCAGAAAGCUUUGGUGAGCAGCUCGAGAUUACAUAGGACAUGGAGACCAGAACUCAUGUUUCCUCAAAUAGUUCAUUUCCAGGGGGCUUUUAGGCUAUUAAUUCUAUAAUCUGCCCUCUGUCUGCCUCAGGGACUCUCCCCUCCAACCCCCAUUUGGACCAUGAACUGAUGCCAAUGGCACCAAGGAAGCAUCAACUGAUACUGGGCAGAAGGGCAGGGCAGUGGCCCCUGGGAGUCUUCAUGGCUCCUCUGGCAGAAAGUACCUGGAGGCAUCAGCUCAUGGACCUGGAGCAUAUCAGCAAGGAACAGAGAUAAACUGUACCGCAUCACCACCCUGGCACUACUCAUGAGAAACUUUCCCAACCAUUAUGCUUGGUUGACUUGGCCGGAAAGGAGUUAACACACAACAUGUGAGGAGUACACUGAGUAGGGAGCUGUGUUCUUGGGUGACCUGUGGGUAUCUGGGCCCAUUUAAUGCACCAAGUCUUCAAAUAGUGGCAGCCAUCACAGGCUCUUCUGUCUGCUUGUGCAUGCACAUGGGGAUCCUUCACUUGGUGGCUUCUCCCCAAGCAAACGUUUUUAGCCCAUCCUGGAUUCUCCUCACUGCCCUCUCUACCCUGGGAAAUGCAACCCACAUUGUCCAAGUCAGACCUAAUUAGACCAGCAAAUCAGUGGCACUCAAGUCAUCACAGCACACUCCAAGCACAAGAGGAAAUGCUGUGUAGGUUAUCCUGUGCGCUGCUUGUUGUGUCUGUUUGUGUUUCCUUGGAUUAUCCAUUCUCUGCUCCCUGCCUUCCAUUACCUCACUAAUGGAGAGGCAGGAUGCAGUCCUCCACAGGCCAGCAUUCAUCUUCCCAGUCUGACCCUCUCGGAGGCUAUUACGCUGCUGUCGCAAGAUCGACGAGGGGAGAAAAAUGAAAACAGUGCACAGGGAACAAUGGAGGGCAAAUGGGACUCUUUUAGAACCGGAUCCACUGAUACGUCAGGCCAAGGAGAAAUGACCACAAGCUCUGAAAAGUGGAGAGCUCCCCCAGACGGCAAAGCCAGGUGAGUGGGCUUCCCCACUGGGCUGCCCACAGUAAGAGGCCAGGCUGGUGGGGAUAGAAGGGUGUCUGUCUGCAGAAGGCUGGGCAGCCUAGGCCCCACAAAAUGAGAGGAAGGUUACUGAGGUCAUUGCUGCCCCUGCCUCAGUUAAAAAAUUAGAAAUCCUCCCCACCCAGCUCUGUUUGUCUCCCCACAAAGCAUUGCAGAAGAAAACACGGAAGCCGCCAGCACUAUUAUGCAUUCAUGAUUCCAGCUUCAACCAGUCCUCUCUGCUGCAAUCCCUUUAUUCCUCCUCUGCAGCUGCCCCGGCACCUCUGCACAGUCCUUUUCUGAAUCUGCCCCUCACCGUGCUCCCCACCUGCACGCCGUCCUCAGAACAGAUUGCCUUGCCUGACCUCCUGAGGCCGACGGAGAUGGUGAUGUGACCUCCUUUGCCCUCCAUCACUGUGCCUCCCACACCUCUGCGCAGCUCGUUCAUUCUCUCUCCCUCCACUCUGACUUAAGGGAAGAGGAAUUUUAAAACCAACCUCAUCCCUUCCCACCUCCUCAGGAAACUCACUCCUUUGCUUACCCUCUCUCCACUUUUAAAAAUAACGAUAUAAAUGCCCCUUUCGCCUGUGAUUCCUUCUGAGCACAGACCCUUCUUGCUUAAGCCCCUGUGAGUUAAUUUUCAGUCUCACAGCUCUUCUCAAUCCAACAGUAUUUUUGCAGCUUUCAGCCUCGGGAAGCUCUUGAUGGGCUCGUCUGCCACGCUACCAACUUCCUUCUUGGAAGUCCCUCCCCGUCUUCUGCGUCUGCCUUGUGCCCAUUCUCCCUCUGGGGUCAGUCCUCUGCCGUCCGGCAGGCCCAUCCUCCACUCCCCAUUAUGGUCCCUCUUUACAGCCUCAUCUGGUCUCUCAUUACACUCUGCAGUAGCCUGAUGGUCAGCUCUUUAAUCAAAUCCCAUUCAGUUCCCUAAAGUACCAAAGUUCCCCAUGAGUCCCUAGAACAGUGUCCUAAAUCAGACACGUCACCCUCUCUACCCCAAUACUGGCCCCACUUCCUCACCGGUCUAUCCUCCCCAGCAGUCCAUUUCAUCUUCCCAGGUGAGGUUCCAUUCUCUUUAGGAAGAUAAUGCUUCAACUCCUCCUUUGAAUUGCCCCUAACUUGGAUCACAGAUGGACGUGAAAGAAAAAAAAAGAAAAAAAAUUUAAAAAGAAUUGCCUCUAACAACAGAGUGAUCAUGCAUUCCCGGGGGUCUCAGGGCGCAAUCCCACAUGGCUCGCCAAAAGGCCAAAACUUCUUUAAAGUCUCAUUUUUCCUUUUUAUUUUUUUGGAGACAGGUUCUCCUCCUGUCACCCAGGCUGGUCUUGAACUCCUGGGCUCUAAGUGAUCCUCCCACCUCCGCCUUCCAAAGUACUGGGGUUACAGGUAUGAGCACCCCCACAGCCAGCCCUUAAUUGCUUUAGGGGUGAGUCGACAUCAUUAGUAGUUGCUUGAGGUCAAGACCCACAGUUUUACCCUUUUUAUCUGUCCCUCCUACUUGUGGCCCAUGGUAAGGCCUUGAUUGGCCAAAACCAUGGGUUCCCCUUGACGCCACAGGGCACUCUCUGUGAAAGGCCCACCCUGG
Molecule: long non-coding RNA, 2944 nt
Filed under: Homo sapiens (human)
Lineage: Eukaryota; Metazoa; Chordata; Mammalia; Primates; Hominidae
Description: HSALNT0297605
Source: RNAcentral